This 73-nucleotide transfer RNA is filed under the name Amycolatopsis carbonis. Its description in RNAcentral is "Amycolatopsis sp. 2-15 tRNA-Trp". It matches the Rfam family "tRNA". From Rfam's summary of the family: Transfer RNA (tRNA) molecules are approximately 80 nucleotides in length. Their secondary structure includes four short double-helical elements and three loops (D, anti-codon, and T loops). RNAcentral also lists the same sequence under 6 other names. The record is from RNAcentral. Lineage: Bacteria; Bacillati; Actinomycetota; Actinomycetes; Pseudonocardiales; Pseudonocardiaceae.
ACCGGUGAGCUUCCGGAGAGAGCGCGGCGGUCUCCAAAACCGUUCGCCGAAGGUUCGACUCCUUCCACCGGUG